UUGACAUGCUUUGCAUGGCAGGCUCCCUGCACKUAUGUGCGGCCAACUGUCAUGGGGCGGUAUGUUCACUAUCCCUUUAAUAUGCAUUAUUGCUGUCUUGGGAUGUUUGCUGUAUGGUUGCCUGUGUGCUASUACCCUCGUCGGUAGCAUGAUUGUCCCGCGUUGUUGUAUGUUUAGCUUGCUCUGUUGAUGMUGUUCAUCAACGUGUGGCCGAGGUGUCAGCAAAUUCCAUGUGUMGCCAUGUGCNNNNNNNAUGAGUUGCAUUUGGUUGUUUGCUGGUUCUCACGGAUAUGGUGCCCGUUGGGAGGUAUACGGGCUUCUAGCUUGUAGACCUUGCGAGGUUUGCCCUUGCACAGAUCAUAGCUCCCGAUGUGUCUCAGUCAUGUCGUGGUUUCUGCGUCAUGCUGGGAGUCCCUCUUGCACAGGGCUUGAUUAUGUGCUUGUGGCGUGCCUCUCUGACCGAAUGACUUGCGAUUGCCGGUUUUUGUUGUCACAAGG
Molecule: unclassified non-coding RNA, 498 nt
Filed under: Cyperus chamaecephalus
Lineage: Eukaryota; Viridiplantae; Streptophyta; Magnoliopsida; Poales; Cyperaceae
Description: partial external transcribed spacer 1f
Source: RNAcentral